UCCCUGGUGGCUCAGAGGUUAAAGCGUCUGCCUGCAAUGCGGGAGACCCGGGUUUGAUCCCUGGGUUGGGAA
This 72-nucleotide transfer RNA is filed under the name Ovis aries (sheep). It matches the Rfam family "tRNA". From Rfam's summary of the family: Transfer RNA (tRNA) molecules are approximately 80 nucleotides in length. The record is from Rfam by way of RNAcentral. RNAcentral also lists the same sequence under 2 other names. Lineage: Eukaryota; Metazoa; Chordata; Mammalia; Artiodactyla; Bovidae.